RNAcentral lists this transfer RNA (74 nucleotides) under Rhodothermales bacterium. Its description in RNAcentral is "tRNA-Met". It matches the Rfam family "tRNA". Rfam says of the family: Transfer RNA (tRNA) molecules are approximately 80 nucleotides in length. Their secondary structure includes four short double-helical elements and three loops (D, anti-codon, and T loops). Further hydrogen bonds mediate the characteristic L-shaped molecular structure. tRNAs have two regions of fundamental functional importance: the anti-codon, which is responsible for specific mRNA codon recognition, and the 3' end, to which the tRNAs corresponding amino acid is attached (by aminoacyl-tRNA synthetases). tRNAs cope with the degeneracy of the genetic code in two manners: having more than one tRNA (with a specific anti-codon) for a particular amino acid; and 'wobble' base-pairing, i.e. permitting non-standard base-pairing at the 3rd anti-codon position. Lineage: Bacteria; Pseudomonadati; Rhodothermota; Rhodothermia; Rhodothermales. The record is from RNAcentral.
GGCGCGGUAGCUCAGCUGGUUAGAGCGACGGACUCAUAACCCGUAGGUCGGCAGUUCAAGUCUGCCCCGCGCCA